CACGUAGGGGGCAAGCGUUGUCCGGAAUCAUUGGGCGUAAAGCGCGUGUAGGCGGCCCGAUAAGUCCGCUGUGAAAGUCCAGGGCUCAACCCUGGGAUGCCGGUGGAUACUGUCGGGCUCGAGUCCGGAAGAGGCGAGUGGAAUUCCUGGUGUAGCGGUGAAAUGCGCAGAUAUCAGGAGGAACACCAAUGGCGAAGGCAGCUCGCUGGGACGUGACUGACGCUGAGACGCGAAAGCGUGGGGAGCAAACAGG
Molecule: ribosomal RNA, 253 nt
Filed under: uncultured bacterium
Lineage: Bacteria
Description: partial 16S ribosomal RNA
Rfam family: Bacterial small subunit ribosomal RNA
Source: RNAcentral